This 494-nucleotide ribosomal RNA is filed under the name uncultured bacterium. RNAcentral describes it as "partial 16S ribosomal RNA". It matches the Rfam family "Bacterial small subunit ribosomal RNA", at positions 28 to 507 of the family's 1533-position model. The record is from RNAcentral.
GACGAACGCUGGCGGCGUGCUUAACACAUGCCAGUCGAACGGUGAAGCGCCUUCCUUUUUGGUGGGUGUGGUUGAGUGGCGAACGGGUGAGUAACACGUGUGUAACCUGCCCCCUUCUUCUGGCUAACCGCAUGAAAGUGUGGCUAAUACGGGAUAUUCUGGGUCUUUCUCAUGAUGGGUCUGGGAAAGAUAUUGUUUCGGUGGGGGAUGGGCUCGCGGCCUAUCAGCUUGUUGUUGGGGUGAUGGCCUACCAAGGCGGUGACGGGUAGACGGCCUGGGAGGGUAGACGGUCAGACUGGGAGUGAGACAAGGCUGGGACUCAGACGGGAGGCAGAAGUGGGGGAUAGGGAGCAAUGGGGGAAAGUCUGAUGCAGCGAAGAGGCGGGAGGAAUGGAGGCCUGCGGGUUGUGAAGCUCUUUCGCCAGUGAAGCAGGCUUGCCACGUUAGUGGGGGGGGUGACGGUAGCUGGAGAAGAAGCGCCGGCUAACUACGUG